GCAUAAACAAGUAUUGAGAAUCAAUGACCUUAACAGCUGUGGGUGUUCCUCCUUGAAUAAGCAUUUUAAAAUCAUCAAUACAAAGAGUGAAACAAUUUAUAUUCGAAAUAUAUUCAAUGUAUUAUUUAAACCCUUUAAAAAUAUUUCUAUUAACAGAGAAUACACAUAACUGCGAGAAUUAUCUUCUUUAAGACUUCACCUCGCCUCAAAAAAUCUUCGGACCAUGAUUUCCUCACCCUGGCACUUUUUUAAAAUAAAUGUCAAGAUAAUAUUCAUGUGAAACGGUAUAAAAAAUUAUUGUUUUACCUAUUCAUAUAUACAUUUUUAUUUAAAAUAAAUUCAGCUGAGUUGAGUUUUUUGGUAUAAAAGGCUAUGCAUAAGCUUGACUACUUCGUAUUGCAAGCAUACACUUCGCAGGCUUUAUGCUGAUAUUGUCAAAAAUGACGAAAUAUUUGCUGCUUGUUUUAAGCUUUGCUGUUAUCUGCGCUGUUAUGACUAAAGCGCAAGUCCCAAAUUGUAAAUCCCAAAUCAUACCUUUACGCCGGGGUCAACGCUUUUGCCAACUAAAUUGCCCACCUAGAAUACCACGUUUUUUAUGUAUAACUGCCACAAAGGAUAUACGAUUACCAGUGUGCCCACAUGGCUGUUGUCGGUCUGACAAUAUUUGUGUUCCAGUGAAAAGACCCGGAUAAACGGUGUUCCACUCAGUUGAUAGAAUAGAUCAUUAAUGUAAAAUUAUGUAUGUUGAAAUUUAAAUAAAUCAUAUUUGAAAGCAA
This is a long non-coding RNA of Zeugodacus cucurbitae (melon fly), 776 nucleotides long. RefSeq lists it as uncharacterized. Lineage: Eukaryota; Metazoa; Arthropoda; Insecta; Diptera; Tephritidae. The transcript is spliced from 2 exons. The record is from RefSeq and is a predicted model, not a curated record.